This is a long non-coding RNA of Rhododendron vialii, 421 nucleotides long. RefSeq lists it as uncharacterized. NCBI's taxonomy places the organism in Eukaryota, Viridiplantae, Streptophyta, Magnoliopsida, Ericales, Ericaceae. The record is from RefSeq and is a predicted model, not a curated record. The transcript has 2 exons.
GACCACAAGUAUAUAUUAAUAUCUUUGGAAUUGGUUUCAACUUUCAACAUCUUACAAGAUACACAGUUUUCCUCUUGAGCUUCACCAACAUAUGGGGAGGCUUCAACAUUCUAAAGCCUACAAAUGCUUGGAUUAUUGUGUAUGGUGUUGUUCCUAUCUCCGGGGCAAUGAUCGAUAUUGUCUACAACCAUAUUAAAACUUUGGAACAAAUUCACAUGACAUGGAAAUAUGAAUGGAGCAAAUGAAGAGUAGAUCAUUCAACUUUCCUAUAGGGUGUUUGGCAAUGUUUAUGCGUAAAUAAGUAUACGUAAUUUAAAAUUAGUUCUUCUAAGGUGAAUUUCUACUGUUUGGUUUGGAAGACAGGGUCUUGUGUAGGUUUAUGUGAUAGGUGUUUUAUCGUCUAUAUUAUUUGAGAAUGGAA